UUCAGGCUUCAAGAGGGUAAGUUAAAGCCACUAAGCUAUCCAACCAUGAACCAACUACCCCUUUUUCCCUCCUUAGCUAUUUAUUUAUUUAAAGCAUCAUCCUAAAAGACCCUCUUUUUUGUUACUCCUACUACUAUUCUCUUUAGGCAAAAAGGUGAGAAUAAAUGUGGCAAAAUCAGACCCAGAAAUCUUCUUCCUUUAGAGAAUCCAUCAAAGCCCUUGAAGCUGAUAUUCAACAUGCCAAUACUAUGGCAGCAGCUCUUCCGCGGAUCUCGAUGGGGAUUGUGUUCAGAUGAAAGUUUCCUACGGCUUUCUUGCCCCCUUCUUGCUAUUUCUCAUAGAAUGGAUGGACUAUAGUUGCUUAGAUAAUCUUGCAACUUGUUUAGGCCUCCUUCACAUUCUUGUUUACAGGGUCUAUGUUGAUGGAAUUCCAACAAUCUCCCCACAAGAAAGGAAAGCCACAAUUAGAGAAUUCUAUGUUGACGAUAAUAAAAUGAUAUCGGAGGGAGUGCUAGGAUUUCAUCUGUUUUUUUAAAAUCUUGCAGCCAUUAUAUAUCCUUCACUUAAGCAGCUAGAGGGCAAUCUAGUGGAAUUAAUGAAGGAGAAUGAUAAAAUAACUCAACUCUCUCACACUUGGAAUGGAGAAGGAGUGGAAGAGAAGAGACAGUCAUGUAAAAGUAUACAACGAGAAGAAGAAUGCGACAUAUGCAUGGAGACUGGCUCCAAGGUGGUUCUGCCUAAUUGUGGCCAUUCCAUGUGUGCUGUCUGUUUCCAUGACUGGUACAUCCGGUCUCAAUCAUGCCCUUUUUGCCGAGGUAGCCUACAGAGAGUGAGCUCCGGAGACUUGUGGGUUCUAACUAGUUAUUGCGAUGUGGUUGAUAGUACUAUACUUGGGCAGGAGAACCUAAGGCGCUUCUACCUUUAUAUUGAUAAGUUGCCACUUGCUGUGCCUGACACCAAUGUGAUGCUUUACGACUAUAUGAUAUAGCGUUGGAAGUGGAAGCAAUGAAUCAUGCAUACCGACCUAUUACCAAAUAUGCUUGAUCCUGAGUAGGACUUUAAAUCCCAUAUAAUACAGCGGAAUAAGGGCUCUCACCCUCAUUGUGUAUAGUUAGCUAAAUACUAGCUAUCCAUACUGCAACUCAGAGCUUCAGUGACAAGGUGUUUGUGGAAUGACUACUCUUUGCACAUGAUUGCUUUGUGCAAUUCCGCGAUAAGUUUCUUAAAUGGAGGAAAAUUAUGUAAAGGGUCAUCUAACUCAUGGCAGUAGAAAGCAUAGAGAUAUGCCUGACAUUCAACUCAGUUUUUUUUUGGGACCUGAGUGCUGAAAUGGAAAGGCAAAUGAUUAAAGGAUUUAUUUACCAUUGGCAAGUUCAGCUGUUGAUUGUAAUGCUUGUACAGUAUAUUACAAUGAAAAAUAAAGGAUGUAUUUACCUGUUA
Nicotiana tabacum (common tobacco) is the source of this 1440-nucleotide non-coding RNA. NCBI's taxonomy places the organism in Eukaryota, Viridiplantae, Streptophyta, Magnoliopsida, Solanales, Solanaceae. The record is from RefSeq and is a predicted model, not a curated record.